Molecule: long non-coding RNA, 284 nt
Filed under: Homo sapiens (human)
Lineage: Eukaryota; Metazoa; Chordata; Mammalia; Primates; Hominidae
Description: HSALNT0112902
Source: RNAcentral
AGGCUUCAUGAUUAGUCUAACAACAUACAGCUAGAGCUGCGACUCGCACUAAGGGCUGAGGUUUGUGAAAGGAUGAAAGGAACUGGAAAAGAAGUCAGCCGGGAAGCUAGGUAUCAGAGCAAACAUAAUGAAAUAGACUUUUGUUGCCUUUAGUGUUUGAAUAAUGCUUAUCCAAAGUUUUCAAGUUGAUUUAGAUAACCUAGCAAUCAGCUAAAUCAGAUAUUUGAGGGCAGUUUUUAGCUUUUUCUUUUUCAAACCCAACCACAAAAUAAACUAACUCUUGC